This 818-nucleotide ribosomal RNA is filed under the name uncultured bacterium. Its description in RNAcentral is "bacterial SSU rRNA". It matches the Rfam family "Bacterial small subunit ribosomal RNA", at positions 51 to 877 of the family's 1533-position model. The record is from RNAcentral.
ACACAUGCAAGUCGAGGGGUAUAGUAGCAAUACUAGAGACCGGCGCACGGGUGCGUAACGCGUAUGCAAUCUGCCUUUCACAGAGGGAUAGCCCAGAGAAAUUUGGAUUAAUACCUCAUAGUAUAGCGACAUCGCAUGAUGAUGCUAUUAAAGUCACAACGGUGAAAGAUGAGCAUGCGUCCCAUUAGCUAGUUGGUAAGGUAACGGCUUACCAAGGCAACGAUGGGUAGGGGUCCUGAGAGGGAGAUCCCCCACACUGGUACUGAGACACGGACCAGACUCCUACGGGAGGCAGCAGUGAGGAAUAUUGGUCAAUGGGCGCAAGCCUGAACCAGCCAUGCCGCGUGCAGGAUGACGGUCCUAUGGAUUGUAAACUGCUUUUGCACAGGAAGAAACACUGAUUCGUGAAUCAGCUUGACGGUACUGUGAGAAUAAGGAUCGGCUAACUCCGUGCCAGCAGCCGCGGUAAUACGGAGGAUCCAAGCGUUAUCCGGAAUCAUUGGGUUUAAAGGGUCCGUAGGCGGUCUGGUAAGUCAGUGGUGAAAGCCCAUCGCUCAACGGUGGAACGGCCAUUGAUACUGCUGGACUUGAAUUAUUAGGAAGUAACUAGAAUAUGUAGUGUAGCGGUGAAAUGCUUAGAGAUUACAUGGAAUACCAAUUGCGAAGGCAGGUUACUACUAAUGGAUUGACGCUGAUGGACGAAAGCGUGGGUAGCGAACAGGAUUAGAUACCCUGGUAGUCCACGCCGUAAACGAUGGAUACUAGCUGUUGGAAGCAAUUUCAGUGGCUAAGCGAAAGUGAUAAGUAUCCCACCUGGG